CAUUUUAUUUUGUUCCGUGAGCACAUCACACCACCAUCGACAUGGCGAGUGACGACGGGUUGAAAACCGAAGCACCGAACACACGCGCACCGCAGGCCGCAGCUUGUCAGUUGUCCGUAUCGCCGCCCAUCGCCAUGCUCGCCUACCUCCUCCACGGCCCAGCCGCCGCCAUCGCCGCGGCGCCCAGCGCCUUCCUCCUCCGCUCCCUCCCGCCGGCGAAGACCCCGUUCCUAUCCUCUCUCCCGCGCCCGGUCUCGCCGAGGCGCGCUGCCGCAGCCGCGUUCGCCUUCAACCCCGCUGCCGCAGCGGCCCCCAUCGUGGCGUCGCUGCUCGAGGGCCCCGUGCUGGUCUGGGCCGGCCGGCUCUGCCUCUACUACGCGCUCCUCCACGUCGGGCUCGCCGGCUCCCCGCGCAACCCCUUCCUCUCUCACGAGAUCGGCGGCGAGGACGGCGCCGGGGAUAGCGACCUAGGGUUCUCCAAGUGGGCCGAGAAGCUCCGUGGCGGUGCCUCAGGUUUCGUGCAGUUCUCUAAAUUUUGUUUGCCCGAUUACAAUUGUUUGUUUGCUUAUUUAUUUAUGCAUUCCUCGGAUUUGUCGUUGAUGCUCUGUUCGGUGGAAGUGGAUGCUAUGAAAGAGUUAUACGGUUCUGCCCUUCGGCAUCUGAAGGACCAUAUAGUACAUGACUACAUGGUGGUGAAAAAGAUGCUCAGCAUAAGAGAAAGCUAACUAGCAAAUGGAAGCCCACGACCAAAGGCACACUGAAGAGAACCUACCGAGUACGUUCAACGGAUGAAGGAAGGCGGAUCCUGAAGGAGAUUGCUUCAGUUCUGUCCCAAGAUGAUCAUUUUGUGGAUGCUUCGUCUCACAAGGGUUGCCAAAUUAGGAGGGAAAGUGCUCAUGGCGAAAGUGUUUGCUGCUACAACGUGAGAGCGUUGUUCGAUGAGCUUCCAACUCCUCACUUGCUUCUGGAGAUAACACCGUUUCCUGCUGGACAACUUACGGACAACGACUACCGUAAGGCAGAGAGGCUUGAGAUGGUCCUGAGGCUCAGCACUUCUAUUUAAAAAACCUGGGGACUGAUUUUUCAAUUUCCCCUAAUACUUAAUUUGCCCAAGUUGUAAAUUGUCUUCCUAUGGGCCUGUAAAUUGACGCAGUUGGCAAAGAAUCACUUGAAAACACAAGUUCUGGUUGCAUGGAUUGAUCCAUUGAGAUACUUUAGUUCAUUAA
RNA transcript from Zea mays, 1226 nucleotides. RefSeq lists it as uncharacterized. The transcript has 5 exons. Lineage: Eukaryota; Viridiplantae; Streptophyta; Magnoliopsida; Poales; Poaceae. The record is from RefSeq and is marked predicted.